CCUACGGGUGGCAGCAGUAGGGAAUCUUCCACAAUGAGCGAAAGCCUGAUGGAGCAACGCCGCGUGCGUGAUGAAGGUCUUCGGAUCGUAAAACGCUGUUGUUAGAGAAGAAAAUGCGUGAGAGUAACUGUUCACGUUUCGACGGUAUCUAGCCAGAAAGCCACGGCUAACUACGUGCCAGCAGCCGCGGUAAUACGUAGGUGGCAAGCGUUAUCCGGAUUUAUUGGGCGUAAAGGGAACGCAGGCGGUCUUUUAAGUCUGAGGUUAAAGCCUUGGGCCUAAACCGCGUCGUGCUUUGGAAACUAGGAGACUAGAGUGAAGAAGAGGAGAGCGGAAUUCCAUGUGAAGCGGUGAAAUGCGUAGAUAUAUGGAAGAACACCAGUGGCGAAAGCGGCUUUCUGG
RNAcentral lists this ribosomal RNA (402 nucleotides) under uncultured bacterium. RNAcentral's name for it is "partial 16S ribosomal RNA". It matches the Rfam family "Bacterial small subunit ribosomal RNA", at positions 338 to 732 of the family's 1533-position model. The record is from RNAcentral.